UAUUCUAGUUAAAAAAUCCACAACGUAAAGAUGAGGUCAUCGGCCGUAAAUAAUCCUAAGUUGUGUGGAUUUAAGAAUUGCUGUUUUAAUCACAAAUGCUUUCUUAUUCUUGUAAAUUGCUCAGACAAGUGCAUUUUUAUUUAGGCCUACUGCAGUGAAGUAUAUUUAAUUUAUAGUUUAAUUUUUAAAAAUGCGCUUUUGUAUAUUGUAACUAGCUUCAGUACCCGGCGUUGCCCGGGCUGAACACAGGGUGAUAUAUUGUCCACGAGUAAAGCAAAUAGAUAGCGUUAUAUUACAGUAUGUUGGACAUAGAGAAAUGACACACAAUUGCUGUUUGAAUGUCUGUGACCUAUGAUUUUCAUUUUACCCAUGGCAGUCUGUUGAACGGUGUAGAAGUUGAUGCGCUGCAGCGCCAUCUAGCGGCGAGAUAUAGCAAAAUGGAUAUUGCGAAAAUAUUCUCCGUGUUCAAUAUAUAUGUAUACCAAUUUUCAUGACGAUAGGUCAAAAGGUUUCAGUGUUUAUUAACGUCAUACAUACCAACAUCCUAUUAUAUUGUCGCGGGUUGAAAUUUUGCAGGGUUGUUGAAAUCAAAUUUAGGGACUUUACUGACGGGACUCUGGGCUGGCUGCUCUGUUCACUCGUCAGCGCAAGUGGCGUGACCAUGUAAUUGGGGCACGGGGCCGGCGCGGCGCGCUGCGGGCUUGCAGAAUUUUGUUUGUUUGUUUGGCCGCGCGCUGGCGCAGCCACGGGCCGCAGUUACUGGGGCGCGCUGUCGUAACAAGCCGCGCGGUGUGGCCUGCACAUCGGGGUAGAGGGGGGGUAGUCUUCCCAGAUGUUCUAGUUAGUUGUUUAGUAAAUUUGACUUCAAUAACGAGCUUUUGUUAUGGUAGGCGCGGCAGGGCGCGCGAAUUUAAGCGCAAGUGAGUGGUGACUCGGGGCUCACUCAGGCGGAGGCUCACUCAGGCGGAGGCUAUGCGUCUCACCUGUGGUCACGAGUUGUUAGUUCGUUCGUGAUGUAGGAAUUCAAGCUUUCGGGCGGAAGCUAUGGUCGACGCCAGAGGCCACGAGUCGUUUAAUUUAAGUUAGGUCAUAAUGUAGUCGUCAAGCUUUCGGGCGGAGGCUAUGGCCCUCGUCAGGGGUCACGCGUCAUAGUUUUUAAAAUGUAAUGUUCGUUCGGGAUUUCAAGGGCAGGAGAGGCCCCUACGUUAUUUUUUUAAAGUAAUCGAUCAAGAAAGGCUUUUCGGAAAAUGUGAGUAUGGACUUAUCUUUGUUUUAAUUUUAAGUAUUAAUUAUGAUUUGAGGUAUUCGGAAGGACUAGGGAAGUGUUUAGUGAAGUUCUCUCAUUCUCUCUCUUGUAAGGUCGUUCAAUCGUUAAGGAAGUAAAGAGAUUAUUGUUUUAAAUUGUAAUCCUGCUAUUUAAAUGUUCUUUAAAAUGAUGUUGAGUAUUUGACUUUAAGAAUAAAAUAAUUUUAAUUAAGUAUUAUGUUAUUUUGCAAAAUCUCCUUAGUUCAGCUCUCACCAGACAUCCUGUACGGGAUGACGAACCUAUGAUCCUAGGUACAGUAAAGUAUUUUAUGAAGUUAAGACUAGUUGAUGCCAAGCGAGUUGUUUCUAUGUAAAGAGCUACGAUUCUCGCCCCCCCCCUCUGAAGGUGGAUCGUGACAGAAAUGGCGGUGGCACCGGCUAGGUGUUCGUGAUAGAAAUGGUAGAGUUCGCCGGAUAGGUUCUAUUUCUGGAGAGAGAGAGAGGUAGAUUUUUAUGUUUAUUAUUAAGUUAGUUUCAGCUUCUGAUAGCAGGUUAUUAAGAGUUUACUUGAGGAGAGGAUUACGGAAUUUUAGUCUAUAGUGGAGGAAGUCUUUGAGAUUUUUUUUUUGACGUAACAGAUGUUUAUUUGAGUAUACUUGUAAGGAUAAAGUUUAUAGUGAUAAGUUGUUUUAAGUCGUUGAGUUUAUCAGGGAUUUUUACGUGAGGAGAAUACGUUAUAAUUUAAAUGAUUAAUAGAGAUAAUGCAAGUGGUUUAAUUUAAUUGAAAUUAAUUUUAAGAUUGUAGGUUAAGAGAGUUAAAAUUUAAAAUAAAGUUUUUUUCGUAAAUAGGAAUUAUUUUCAAGAGAAGUUUGUUUUGUUUUCGUGCGCGUAGGAGACGAGACGUACGAAUUAAAUCAGUCGAGGGAAGGAUAAACGUUAGAAAGGAAUUAAAGAGAAAACGAGAGUUUAUGUAAAAGAGAGUUAUAGAAUUUAUAGUGAUGUUUUGUUUUAAUUAGAAAAAUGUUGAGAGUUGUUUCAGAACGACACGUCAGUGGACGUGGCAGAGUGAACACGUGACGGGGAGGUGCUGAGACCUAGCGGAGAACGGAGGAACCGCAAGCGAGGGUUGGCGCACCUGAUGGAAUUCGGUGACGUCACGGGCUCAUACGGAGACGUGGACAGGCCGUGACCUUGUUUUGAUCAGCUGUACGGUAACUUAGCGAUAAGAAAAUAGACUAUUGGUUAAAUAAAUUUAAAUUUAAGUGUGUUUUAGGAGAAGAGGAACUUUCAGUAUAUUCCUUAAGAUGAGCUGAGCAGCAGUCCAGUUUACAAGAUGACAAGAGUUCGAGAGACAAGAUACAAGAUCACUGAAACAAGAGCCAAGACUGAAGAUUCAAGAGAAGAGAAAGCUGGCAGCCAUGGACUUACAAGUGGAGAUUAAUAAGGUCAUGUAAAGUUUUAUUUUUUUUUAUGGAAGACAGUAACUGGAGUUUUUUUUUGUUAUAAACAUUAUUUACAGAACUUUUUAGGUUAUAGUAAUGUAAUGGAACUAGUGAGUUGUGGUAGCUGUCAAAAAGAACUAAUACCUUAAGUUUAAUUUUUAAAGUUAAUUUUCUUAAUUUACAGAGGGAUUAGUAGUUUUUUUUAAACCUUAUUUAGGUUGGAAUUUCAAUACAAUAGCUUAUUAUAAAUGUGUACGAACAGUUCAAGUUCACCGUACUGAUAGGUAGGUCAGAUGAUCUUAUUGAUUUUGAUGAUUUGUUGUUUUGAGUUGAUUUUUAGGUGUUGUGAAUUAGACAAUGAAAUAGUUUUGAAAACUUAAAUUAUUUCAAGCUAAGAAAUAGUAAAUUUAAUUGUAACUCAAAGGACACCAGAAUUUAAUUUUUUUUUGAAUUAGUAAUGUUUGAAAAUUUUAUACUUUACCAGAAAGGUUAUAAACAAACAGAUCGGAUGGAACAAGGAUGCAGUAAAUCACAAUUUCAUUUAGAAUUAUUGAUUUGCUUUUGAGGUUAUGAAGGAAAAGUAGCUAUAAUUUAAAAAUUUGAAUAAAAUUGGUUUUUUUUUAUUUGUUUGAAAUAGAAAGUUUAAAAGUUAAUUAGUCAUGAUCUAGGUGGGUGAUGGGGUGGGAAUUGGCCACUCUUUUUCCCUAUAACCUCCCUAACAUGGCCUUCUAUUACAUCUAACAGAAUAGAAGAAGAAAAAGACUUAUUAUUAGUUAGAAUGUUUUUUUUAUGAAGAUACCUGAUGAACUUUUUUUUUAUUGUUGGGAAGAAUAGUAGCAAGAUUAAUCAGAUGUUUUACUCAGAAGAAGAAGAAGAAGAAGAUAAAGCAGUUUUAUGACUCGACAAGCCAGAGAUUGGUGUUUCCCCUCUGCGCUCCUAUUGACUACGUUGUUUACUCUCAUGGGAUAGCUGGUUCGGCACCAUGGAGAGAGAUUGGUGGGCAUUGUGGUUGCCCCCAGAAGAAAAGAAGAGUAGAAAGGUUAUGGGUGGGUCAUGUGAAGUGACCUUCAACCCAGUUACUUCGUGGGGACUAUUUGCUGUAUAGAGAAGAUCAAGACUCAAGAGUUAGGGAAAAUCAUUGGAGGUCAUGUUUCCCUUCCUUAAGUUUUUCCUAUCAAAUUAUUUGCCUGAUUAGAUUAUGCUAAGGGUGGGAUACUUUAUGUUAGCAGUUGAAUUAAUUAAUUUUAUUUUUUUUGUGUGUUUGCAUCCUUGCCCAUCGAUUGCAGUUUAGUAGUUAGUUUUGUAUUUGUCAGGCGUGAUGGUAAUGCCUGUUGAUGAUGUUUCAGAAUUGUAAUCUGUUCGUGAUGAGGAUGGCACAACUCCGAAGCAGAUGUGGGGAGAAGUUGUGAGCUGCCCUGGAAGCCAGUCCAGUAGCUGUUGGAGUUGAGUGGUGUUUGCUGAUGGCCAGCCCAGGGAGCUACUCUUCUCGACAACACUGACUUCGAGGAGUUGCACCAACCUUCACGAGAUAAGAGUUUAAUUAAUUGAAACACUGUAAGGACACUUAAUUUUUUUUGAAGAACGAAAGAAGUAUGGUAAUAAACGGAAACCGAAAAAAAAAAAAAAAAUAAUAA
Molecule: long non-coding RNA, 4321 nt
Organism: Bacillus rossius redtenbacheri
Lineage: Eukaryota; Metazoa; Arthropoda; Insecta; Phasmatodea; Bacillidae
Exons: 2
Source: RefSeq, a predicted model, not a curated record